Molecule: ribosomal RNA, 683 nt
Filed under: Carpathonesticus fodinarum
Lineage: Eukaryota; Metazoa; Arthropoda; Arachnida; Araneae; Nesticidae
Also listed under: 1 other name
Description: partial large subunit ribosomal RNA
Rfam family: Eukaryotic large subunit ribosomal RNA
Source: RNAcentral
GGGAUUAUUCAGUCGGGAGGUCGCGGACGCAGAGUGUGGAAUGACCAGAAUGGUUCUCCGGACGGAGCCGUCCACGCCCUGCGCUUUCGUGCCACCCGACGCAUUUGUUUCCCGUCCAGAGGACGCCGCAACCGGUUGGAGAACGGCCUUAAGGGCAGACGAUGGCAGGUGGCCGGUGAUUUUUCCCUCGGGAGAGUCUGCCGGUUGUUAGCCGGUUUCUGUCGCACGGCUCGUGAUCCGACCGUGGUGUCGCGAGACCCCUAGCGGGUCUCUUCGCCUCCUCCUUUCGCGGGAAGCCGGGAAUUGGCGGCACGGUCCCUCCCCCCUGCGGGCGCACUGACUGACUCAGUGGCCCAGCUAUCGGGAGGUCCGGUUGGUAGCCUUUUACCCGUUGGAGUGUCGGCGGUUAGCGGCGAGUAGAUCGGUCACCCACCCGACCCGUCUUGAAACACGGACCAAGGAGUCUAACAUGUGUGCGAGUCAAUGGGUCUCGAAUAAGCCCAGAGGCGCAAUGAAAGCAAAGGCCGGACUUGACUUCGGCUGUGUUGGGAUCCUCCUCUUGUGAAAUGGGGGAGGCGCACCAACGACCCGUCCCAUCCGAUUUAUCGGUGGGGCGGAGUCUGAGCAUACACGUUGGUACCCGAAAGAUGGUGAGCUAUGCCCGGGCAGGACGAAGCCAGAGG